RNA transcript from Orcinus orca (killer whale), 1281 nucleotides. It is a transcript of the gene named isochorismatase domain containing 2, with no coding region annotated. NCBI's taxonomy places the organism in Eukaryota, Metazoa, Chordata, Mammalia, Artiodactyla, Delphinidae. The transcript is spliced from 8 exons. The record is from RefSeq and is a predicted model, not a curated record.
UGGGCGGGACGCGGGCGGAGCCGGGGGCGGGCCAAGUGUCUGGGCUUUGGGGAACAUCUACCAGGCCUGCGACCCCGCGGGUGGGCCUGAGCGGCGGAAGUCCGGCUGCGGGAGGUACCCCAGCCUUUCUUUCUAAGACCUGGAAGGGGGUUCAGCUGGACAUGGCAGCUGUGAGGCCCGGCCUGGGACGCAUCAUCCCUGGAUCAUCCAUCCUCUUCCUGUGCGACAUGCAGGAGAAGUUCCGCCAUGUCUCGUUCUUCCCCCAGAUCGUCUCUGUGGCUGCCCGCAUGCUCAAGGUGGCCCAGCUCCUGGAUGUGCCAGUUGUGCUGACUGAGCAGUACCCACAAGGCCUGGGCCCCACAGUGCCCGAGCUGGGAGCUGAGGGUCUGCAGCCAUGGUCCAAGACUUGCUUCAGCAUGGUGCCCGCGGUGCAGCAGGAGCUGGACGCGCGGCCCCAGCUGCGCUCUGUGCUCCUCUGUGGCUUGGAGACACAAGCCUGCAUCUUGCACACAGCCCUGGACCUCCUGGACCAAGGGCUGCAGGUCCACGUGGUGGUGGACGCCUGCACCUCCCGCAGCCAGGUGGACCGGCUGGUGGCGCUGUCCCGGAUGCGCCAGAGCGGCGCCUUCCUCUCCACCAGCGAAGGGCUCAUUCUGCAGCUCGUGGGUGAUGCCACCCACCCCCGGUUCAAGGAGGUUAGCAUGACAGGGAUUGCUGAUGGGUGCAAGGUGUGAAAAGGCAGCACAGAGAGAGGAUCUGGCUUGAGCGCAGUUGCUCAAGCUCUCUACUGAUGGGGGUGGCGGUGGCGGCAAUGAGGUUGAGAGGUCAGGUGACCACCAGCAUCUAAGAGGCAGCUGGAUAAAUCCAGAAGAUCAUCAAGGAGCCCGCCCCAGACAGCGGGCUGCUGGGCCUCUUCCAUGGCCAGAACCCCCUCUUCCGCUGAACUCCCUACCCUGCCUUGAGGGGAGACCGACCACCGUCUCGUCCCUGGGACCUUGGAAGCGCUUUCCCCCCCAUUCUUGGAUCCCAAGAGUGGUGCAGUCCACCGGGGGUACCGCCCCCUCAGCAGGGGAUGUGGGUGCCGCUUUUCCAUUGGACGGCAGCUCCCGGAAAUGCAAAUGAGACUCCUGGAAGCUGGGCGGGGGUUGGCUGAGCCGAGCUGGAGGUGGGGCUCGGCCCCCCCCUCCCCGGGCCACUUCAAGGGGCGACAAGGGGAGGGGGAGGGAGUGUCACAGGCUGUGUGGGACCCGGUCUCAGAGAAUAAACAUUGAUGUGACUGUG